GAUGAACGCUGGCGGCGCGCCUAACACAUGCAAGUCGAACGAUUAAAGCACCUUCGGGUGUGUAUAAAGUGGCGAACGGCUGAGUAACACGUGGGCAACCUGCCCCUCUCAUUGGGAUAGCCACGGGAAACCGUGGAUAAUACCGAAUACUUCGGGACUUCCGCAUGGAAGACUCGAGAAAGCUCCGGCGGAGAGGGAUGGGCCCGCGGCCUGUUAGCUUGUUGGUGGGGUAAUGGCCUACCAAGGCAAUGAUGGGUAGCUGGGUUGAGAGACCGACCAGCCAGAUUGGGACUGAGACACGGCCCAGACUCCUACGGGAGGCAGCAGUGGGGAAUCGUGCACAAUGGGCGAAAGCCUGAUGCAGCGACGCCGCGUGCGGGAUGAAGGCCUUCGGGUUGUAAACCGCUUUCAGCAGGGACGAGGCGAAAGUGACGGUACCUGCAGAAGAAGCCCCGGCUAACUACGUG
RNAcentral lists this ribosomal RNA (467 nucleotides) under uncultured bacterium. RNAcentral describes it as "partial 16S ribosomal RNA". It matches the Rfam family "Bacterial small subunit ribosomal RNA", at positions 28 to 507 of the family's 1533-position model. The record is from RNAcentral.